GACUCAGGGCCUGGCCACCCGCACACCGACAGUGGCCAGUUAUUGCCAUCACCGUGCCUGACCCAGAGGGUUUGGUUGCCCUUCUUUUCUGCUGCUUCCACAGAAAACAAAUUGAUUGUGGCUUAAUCAGAUGAGAUGGGAAUGACUGGCAGGUGGGGAGAAGAAAGGAAAGGCCGAGUGAGGAUGGCCAUCCAUCGAGGCCACUUCCCUGCUCUUUGCCAUUGAAGCCCAUGCUCCUGGAACCCCGUGUGUGUUCAGAAUGUGCAAGCAGAAGAAGAAGAGGGAGCGGAAAGCACUGGGCAUCAGGGCUUUCCAGGGGAAUGUCUUGACCUGGCUGGCAGUGGAAAUUCACACCUUCA
RNAcentral lists this long non-coding RNA (359 nucleotides) under Homo sapiens (human). RNAcentral's name for it is "non-protein coding lnc-RPS7-4:1". Lineage: Eukaryota; Metazoa; Chordata; Mammalia; Primates; Hominidae. The record is from RNAcentral.